UACGUAGGGUGCGAGCGUUGUCCGGAAUUAUUGGGCGUAAAGGGCUCGUAGGCGGUUUGUCGCGUCGGGAGUGAAAACCUCGGGCUUAACUCGGGGCUUGCUUUCGAUACGGGCAGACUGGAGGUAUGCAGGGGAGAACGGAAUUCCUGGUGUAGCGGUGAAAUGCGCAGAUAUCAGGAGGAACACCGGUGGCGAAGGCGGUUCUCUGGACAGAUACCGACGCUGAGGCACGAAAGCUAGGGGAGCAAACAGG
Molecule: ribosomal RNA, 253 nt
Filed under: uncultured bacterium
Lineage: Bacteria
Description: partial 16S ribosomal RNA
Rfam family: Bacterial small subunit ribosomal RNA
Source: RNAcentral